UACGGGGGGUGCAAGCGUUGUUCGGAAUUACUGGGCGUAAAGGGCGCGUAGGCGGGUGGACAAGUCUCUCGUGAAAGCCCACGGCUCAACCGUGGAAUUGCGGGAGAUACUGUCUGUCUUGAGUCCGGGAGAGGAGGGUGGAAUUCCCAGUGUAGCGGUGAAAUGCGUAGAUAUUGGGAGGAACACCGGUGGCGAAGGCGGCUCUCUGGACCGGUAAUGACGCUGAGGCGCGAAAGCUACGGGAGCAAACGGG
This 253-nucleotide ribosomal RNA is filed under the name uncultured bacterium. RNAcentral's name for it is "partial 16S ribosomal RNA". It matches the Rfam family "Bacterial small subunit ribosomal RNA", at positions 524 to 776 of the family's 1533-position model. The record is from RNAcentral.